RNAcentral lists this ribosomal RNA (379 nucleotides) under uncultured eukaryote. RNAcentral's name for it is "partial 18S ribosomal RNA". It matches the Rfam family "Eukaryotic small subunit ribosomal RNA", at positions 592 to 975 of the family's 1831-position model. The record is from RNAcentral.
CAAUAGCGUAUAUUAAAGUUGUUGCGGUUAAAAAGCUCGUAGUUGGAUUUCUGCUGAGAACGACCGGUCCGCCCUCUGGGUGUGUAUCUGGCUCUUUCUUGGCAUCUUCUUGGUGAACGUUGCUGCACUUGACUGUGUGGAGCGCUACCCAGGACUUUUACUUUGAGGAAAUUAGAGUGUUUCAAGCAGGCAUACGCCUUGAAUACAUUAGCAUGGAAUAAUAAGAUAGGACCUCGGUUCUAUUUUGUUGGUUUCUAGAGCUGAGGUAAUGAUUAAUAGGGAUAGUUGGGGGCAUUCGUAUUUAACUGUCAGAGGUGAAAUUCUUGGAUUUAUGAAAGACUAACAUCUGCGAAAGCAUUUGCCAAGGAUGUUUNCAUUG